CAGCAGCCGCGGGAAUACGAAGGGGGCCAGCGUUGUUCGGAUUUACUGGGCGUAAAGCGCACGUAGGCGGAUCGAUCAGUCAGGGGUGAAAUCCCAGAGCUCAACUCUGGAACUGCCUUUGAUACUGUCGAUCUGGAGUAUGGAAGAGGUGAGUGGAAUUCCGAGUGUAGAGGUGAAAUUCGUAGAUAUUCGGAGGAACACCAGUGGCGAAGGCGGCUCACUGGUCCAUUACUGACGCUGAGGUGCGAAAGCGUGGGGAGCAAACAGGAUUAGAUACCCCCGUAGUCCCUGUCUCUUAUAC
This 301-nucleotide ribosomal RNA is filed under the name uncultured bacterium. Its description in RNAcentral is "partial 16S ribosomal RNA". It matches the Rfam family "Bacterial small subunit ribosomal RNA", at positions 509 to 807 of the family's 1533-position model. The record is from RNAcentral.